CUACGGGGCGGCAGCAGUGGGGAAUAUUGCACAAUGGGGGAAACCCUGAUGCAGCAACGCCGCGUGAAGGAUGAAGGUUUUCGGAUCGUAAACUUCUUUGAUGAGGGAGGAAAAAUGACGGUACCUCAAAAACAAGCCACGGCUAACUACGUGCCAGCAGCCGCGGUAAUACGUAGGUGGCGAGCGUUGUCCGGAAUUACUGGGUGUAAAGGGCGUGUAGGCGGGAAUGUAAGUCAGAUGUGAAAUUCCGAGGCUCAACCUCGGAGCUGCAUCUGAAACUAUAUUUCUUGAGUGCUGGAGAGGAAAGCGGAAUUCCUAGUGUAGCGGUGAAAUGCGUAGAUAUUAGGAGGAACACCAGUGGCGAAGGCGGCUUUCUGGACAGUAACUGACGCUGAGGCGCGAAAGCGUGGGGAGCAAACAGGAUUAGAUACCCCAGUAGUC
This 441-nucleotide ribosomal RNA is filed under the name uncultured bacterium. Its description in RNAcentral is "partial 16S ribosomal RNA". It matches the Rfam family "Bacterial small subunit ribosomal RNA", at positions 339 to 795 of the family's 1533-position model. The record is from RNAcentral.